Molecule: ribosomal RNA, 492 nt
Filed under: uncultured bacterium
Lineage: Bacteria
Description: partial 16S ribosomal RNA
Rfam family: Bacterial small subunit ribosomal RNA
Source: RNAcentral
AGUGAACGCUGGCGGUAGGCCUAACACAUGCAAGUCGAACGGCAGCACAGUAAGAGCUUGCUCUUACGGGUGGCGAGUGGCGGACGGGUGAGGAAUACAUCGGAAUCUACUUUUUCGUGGGGGAUAACGUGGGGAAACUUACGCUAAUACCGCAUACGACCUACGGGUGAAAGCAGGGGAUCUUCGGACCUUGCGCGAUUGAUUGAGCCGAUGUCGGAUUAGCUAGUUGGCGGGGUAAAGGCCCACCAAGGCGACGAUCCGUAGCUGGUCUGAGAGGAUGAUCAGCCACACUGGAACUGAGACACGGUCCAGACUCCUACGGGAGGCAGCAGUGGGGAAUACUGGACAAUGGGCGCAAGCCUGAUCCAGCCAUACCGCGUGGGUGAAGAAGGCCUUCGGGUUGUAAAGCCCUUUUGUUGGGAAAGAAAAGCAGCAGGUUAAUACCCCGCUGUUCUGACGGUACCCAAAGAAUAAGCACCGGCUAACUUCGUG